Molecule: ribosomal RNA, 468 nt
Filed under: uncultured bacterium
Lineage: Bacteria
Description: partial 16S ribosomal RNA
Rfam family: Bacterial small subunit ribosomal RNA
Source: RNAcentral
GACGAACGCUGGCGGCGUGCUUAACACAUGCAAGUCGAACGGAAAGGCCCUGCUUUUGUGGGGUACUCGAGUGGCGAACGGGUGAGUAACACGUGAGUAACCUGCCCUUGACUUUGGGAUAACUUCAGGAAACUGGGGCUAAUACCGGAUAGGAGCUCCUGCUGCAUGGUGGGGGUUGGAAAGUUUCGGCGGUUGGGGAUGGACUCGCGGCUUAUCAGCUUGUUGGUGGGGUAGUGGCUUACCAAGGCUUUGACGGGUAGCCGGCCUGAGAGGGUGACCGGCCACAUUGGGACUGAGAUACGGCCCAGACUCCUACGGGAGGCAGCAGUGGGGAAUAUUGCACAAUGGGCGGAAGCCUGAUGCAGCAACGCCGCGUGCGGGAUGACGGUCUUCGGGUUGUAAACCGCUUUCGCCUGUGACGAAGCGUGAGUGACGGUAAUGGGUAAAGAAGCACCGGCUAACUACGUG